Microcebus murinus (gray mouse lemur) is the source of this 630-nucleotide non-coding RNA. The record is from RefSeq and is a predicted model, not a curated record. NCBI's taxonomy places the organism in Eukaryota, Metazoa, Chordata, Mammalia, Primates, Cheirogaleidae.
CACAGUCCUCUGUCCACCUGAGAAACAAAGUAUCUUUCUGUUGAUUUAUGUGGGAUCAUUUCAGUAGUUUUCCCAAAGUGAUAAUUUUUCUGCAUUUUCUGGCUUUUAUUUUCUUGGCUGAAAGUAAGAGGUGGCAGUGAGGAAUGUGCAGGGACUAGUGAUUCGGUCCUGUCUGUUUCCCUGUGUUUUAGUGAUUAAAGAGACGUUCUGUACCCAAAGUGACACAAAGGCGUAGUCUACAUUUUUGCUGUUCCAGGCGCAGCCCGGAAGGCGCGCCGGCGCCCACGGCGUCUUUCCUGCCCGCGAGUCUCCUCCCAGAGGGCCUGGGGGGCGGAGAGGGGCGCGGCCGAGUCCGCUGGCCUCCUGGAGUCCGGCCUCCGGGACAGCGGCGGAGGACGGCCAGCCUAAAUAACGGCGUGCGGAGCGCGGAGACGGGCUUUCCAGCCAGUAUGUUUUGAUUCGCUUUUCUCGAAUGGUAAUUCCCGCAUGAUCCACUUCUGUACGGCGCCUUCUGACUGUUACAGACUCUCUACUACCUCUGCCAGUCUGCUGUUUCCUUGUUUCCUAACAGGAUUUUUACAGUGUUGCGUCUAAUGUAACUUAGACAAUAAAGGGUUUGGUUGUCUACAC